CCUACGGGAGGCAGCAGUGGGGAAUAUUGCGCAAUGGGCGCAAGCCUGACCCAGCGACGCCGCGUGAGGGAUGAAGGUCUUCGGAUUGUAAACCUCUUUCAGUAGGGAAGAAGCGAAAGUGACGGUACCUAAAGAAGAAGCACCGGCUAACUAUGUGCCAGCAGCCGCGGUAAUACAUAGGGUGCAAGCGUUGUCCGGAAUUAUUGGGCGUAAAGAGCUCGUAGGUCGUUUGUCGCGUCGAUUGUGAAAAUCUGAGGCUCAACCUCAGACCUGCAGUCGAUACGGGCAAACUAGAGUGUGGUAGGGGAGACUGGAAUUCCUGGUGUAGCGGUGGAAUGCGCAGAUAUCAGGAGGAACACCAAUGGCGAAGGCAGGUCUCUGGGCCAUAACUGACACUGAGGAGCGAAAGUGCGGGGAGCGAACAGGAUUAGAUACCCUGGUAGUCCGCACCGUAAACGGUGGACACUAGUUGUGGGAACCUUCCACGGUUUCCGCGACGCAGCAAACGCAUUAAGUGCCCCGCCUGGGGAGUACGAUCGCAAGAUUAAAACUCAAAGGAAUUGACGG
RNAcentral lists this ribosomal RNA (567 nucleotides) under uncultured Actinomycetes bacterium. RNAcentral's name for it is "bacterial SSU rRNA". It matches the Rfam family "Bacterial small subunit ribosomal RNA", at positions 338 to 916 of the family's 1533-position model. Lineage: Bacteria; Bacillati; Actinomycetota; Actinomycetes. The record is from RNAcentral.